GAUUAAGUUAUUAAGGGCGCACGGUGGAUGCCUUGGCACUAGAAGCCGAUGAAGGACGUUACUAACGACGAUAUGCUUUGGGGAGCUGUAAGUAAGCUUUGAUCCAGAGAUUUCCGAAUGGGGAAACCCAGCAUGAGUUAUGUCAUGUUAUCGAUAUGUGAAUACAUAGCAUAUCAGAAGGCACACCUGGAGAACUGAAACAUCUUAGUACCCGGAGGAAGAGAAAGAAAAUUCGAUUCCCUUAGUAGCGGCGAGCGAAACGGGAAGAGCCCAAACCAACAAGCUUGCUUGUUGGGGUUGUAGGACACUCUAUACGGAGUUACAAAGGACGACAUUAGACGAAUCAUCUGGAAAGAUGAAUCAAAGAAGGUAAUAAUCCUGUAGUCGAAAAUGUUGUCUCUCUUGAGUGAAUCCUGAGUACGACGGAGCACGUGAAAUUCCGUCGGAAUCUGGGAGGACCAUCUCCUAAGGCUAAAUACUCUCUAGUGACCGAUAGUGAACCAGUACCGUGAGGGAAAGGUGAAAAGCACCCC
RNAcentral lists this ribosomal RNA (533 nucleotides) under Staphylococcus aureus. Its description in RNAcentral is "partial 23S ribosomal RNA". It matches the Rfam family "Bacterial large subunit ribosomal RNA", at positions 1 to 527 of the family's 2925-position model. The record is from RNAcentral. Lineage: Bacteria; Bacillati; Bacillota; Bacilli; Caryophanales; Staphylococcaceae.